Molecule: ribosomal RNA, 510 nt
Filed under: uncultured bacterium
Lineage: Bacteria
Description: partial 16S ribosomal RNA
Rfam family: Bacterial small subunit ribosomal RNA
Source: RNAcentral
GACGAACGCUGGCGGCGUGCUUAACACAUGCAAAUCGAACGAAGAGCGAUGGAAGCUUGCUUCUAUCAAUCUUAGUGGCGAACGGGUGAGUAACGCGUAAUCAACCUGCCCUUCAGAGGGGGACAACAGUUGGAAACGACUGCUAAUACCGCAUACGAUCUAAUCUCGGCAUCGAGGAUAGAUGAAAGGUGGCCUCUACAUGUAAGCUAUCACUGAAGGAGGGGAUUGCGUCUGAUUAGCUAGUUGGAGGGGUAACGGCCCACCAAGGCGAUGAUCAGUAGCCGGUCUGAGAGGAUGAACGGCCACAUUGGGACUGAGACACGGCCCAGACUCCUACGGGAGGCAGCAGUGGGGAAUCUUCCGCAAUGGACGAAAGUCUGACGGAGCAACGCCGCGUGAGUGAUGACGGCCUUCGGGUUGUAAAGCUCUGUUAAUCGGGACGAAAGGCCUUCUUGCGAACAGUUAGAAGGAUUGACGGUACCGGAAUAGAAAGCCACGGCUAACUACGUG